This 512-nucleotide ribosomal RNA is filed under the name uncultured bacterium. RNAcentral describes it as "partial 16S ribosomal RNA". It matches the Rfam family "Bacterial small subunit ribosomal RNA", at positions 28 to 523 of the family's 1533-position model. The record is from RNAcentral.
GAUGAACGCUGGCGGCAUGCCUAAUACAUGCAAGUCGAACGAGAGGAAGGAAAGCUUGCUUUUCUGAAUCUAGUGGCGAACGGGUGAGUAACACGUAGGUAACCUGCCCAUGUGCCCGGGAUAACUUCUGGAAACGGAUGCUAAAACCGGAUAGGUAGCAGACAAGCAUUUGACUGCUAUUAAAGUGGCUAAGGCCAUGAACAUGGAUGGACCUGCGGUGCAUUAGCUAGUUGGUGAGGUAACGGCCAACCAAGGCGACGAUGCAUAGGCGGCCUGAGAAGGCGGACGGCAACAGUGGGACUGAGACACGGCCCAAACUCCUACGGGAGGCAGCAGUAGGGAAUUUUCGUCAAUGGGGGGAACCCUGAACGAGCAAUGCCACGUGAGUGAGGAAGGUCUUCGGAUCGUAAAGCUCUGUUGUAAGAGAAAAACGACAUUCAUAGGGAAUGAUGAGUGAGUGAUGGUAUCUUACCAGAAAGUCACGGCUAACUACGUGCCAGCCGCCGCCGUAA